AGAAGAUGCCUCCUCCAUUCGCGUCUGGAUACUCUUUCCUCCACGGACGCCCAGCAUCUGCUAAUUUAACAGGUUACUGAGGACAAGGCUUUGGAAGAGAUCUGUCUAGGAAGCAAUUACACAGAUGGAACGGUGAACAUUGAGCACGGUGUCUCUCAGACUCGAUGGACUUCUUGAGGGGGCAUCUAACUGGCCUGGCGACAUGCAGGGUUGAUUAGUGGGAACAUCCAUUAGUUGCUGCCCACACUCAGUAUGCAGCAUGCAAAAGGGCAGAUGUGCUUUGAAGCUCCUGUUGGAGAACAGAUCUGAUCUGUUCAUCAACAGCAGCACCAACCAACUUGCUCAUGAAAGAAAUAAAAUCGAUGAGAACCCGUCAUGAUUAUUAUGAUGAUUCCCAUCAUUCUUGUAUUCAUCGUUUUCAUCACUCAUGUCUGAUAUUGUCUAGAUUCAGGCGCCUCUAUGUUAUAUUCUCAUUGCUUUAAGGCUAAAUUUACAGAUGAAGGAAGGAUGCGUUCCUGAAUCAGUUUGAAUCCCAAUUUUUAUGUUGGUCCAACAGCAUUCCAAUAUUCAAUCAUUGCCUUAAGAUUGUAGGGUAGGUUUAGGGCUGUGAAUAAUAGAAAUUAUUCUUUUAAGAAAAUUAGAUCUUAAAGGGAUACUCCACCCAAACAUGAAAAUUCUGUCAUCAUUUACUCACCCUCAAGUUGUUCUAAACCAGUAUAAAUUUCUUUGUUCUGAUGAACACAGAGAAAGAUAUUUGAAAGAAUGCUUGUAACCAAACAGUUCUUGGCACUAAUUCAUACGAAUUAGCCACCUCAUAAAAUAGUUACGAGUUCCUGUUAGAUUGUUUAUCUCAAUUUCAAGAAUUUUCUUUAGACACUGGCCCCUUACACAUCUCAGAUACCAAUAAUAAUUGAUUUAAUGUUGAAUCAAUGUUUAGAAUAACUCAUUUAACGUUGUUACACUCACCGUUAAAUCAGUUAUUUUUGCUGUCUGGAAUUGGACCAUUGCUUUCUGGUGUUUUAUUAACUGUGUAUUAAAUAAAAAAGAA
Long non-coding RNA from Triplophysa rosa, 1048 nucleotides. RefSeq lists it as uncharacterized. The record is from RefSeq and is a predicted model, not a curated record. The transcript is spliced from 3 exons. Lineage: Eukaryota; Metazoa; Chordata; Actinopteri; Cypriniformes; Nemacheilidae.